Molecule: ribosomal RNA, 894 nt
Filed under: uncultured Parvimonas sp.
Lineage: Bacteria; Bacillati; Bacillota; Tissierellia; Tissierellales; Peptoniphilaceae
Description: bacterial SSU rRNA
Rfam family: Bacterial small subunit ribosomal RNA
Source: RNAcentral
GACGAACGCUGGCGGCGUGCCUAAUACAUGCAAGUAGAACGCACAGGAUGCACCGUAGUUUACUACACCGUAUUCUGUGAGUUGCGAACGGGUGAGUAACGCGUAGGUAACCUGCCUGGUAGCGGGGGAUAACUAUUGGAAACGAUAGCUAAUACCGCAUAAGAACAUUUACUGCAUGGUAGAUGUUUAAAAGGUGCAAGAGCAUCACUACCAGAUGGACCUGCGUUGUAUUAGCUAGUUGGUGAGGUAACGGCUCACCAAGGCAACGAUACAUAGCCGACCUGAGAGGGUGAUCGGCCACACUGGGACUGAGACACGGCCCAGACUCCUACGGGAGGCAGCAGUAGGGAAUCUUCGGCAAUGGGGGGAACCCUGACCGAGCAACGCCGCGUGAGUGAAGAAGGUUUUCGGAUCGUAAAGCUCUGUUGUUAAGGAAGAACGUGUGUGAGAGUGGAAAGUUCACACAGUGACGGUACUUAACCAGAAAGGGACGGCUAACUACGUGCCAGCAGCCGCGGUAAUACGUAGGUCCCGAGCGUUGUCCGGAUUUAUUGGGCGUAAAGCGCGUCUAGGUGGUUAUGUAAGUCUGAUGUGAAAAUGCAUGGCUCAACUCUGUAUUGCGUUGGAAACUGUAUAACUAGAGUACUGGAGAGUUAAGCGGAACUACUAGUGUAGAGGUGAAAUUCGUAGAUAUUUGGAGGAAUGCCGAUGGGGAAGCCAUCUUACUGGACAGAUACUGACUCUGAAGCGCGUAAAUCGUGUGUAGCAACCGGAGUAUAUACCCUGUGAUGUCUAGGGGCUAUUCCACAUUGUGUAUUAUGCUUAUCGAUACCGUCGACGCGAGGGUGGGUCCAAGUAUACAUCUUUUUGUUCCCUUUAUUAGUGUUUUUUAUG